UCCUUUCUUCCUUUAGCUAUCUUCCAAUAUCUACCUUUUUUUUUUACCUUUCUUUCUUCUCCUUCACUUCUUCUCCUCUGCUUUCCUUUUUUUUUCUAGUUACUUUUCUUAUUUUCUACAAAGGGGGACCAUGGUUAUAAGGUCCCCAAAUCUGCUUUUCUAGUGUCGUCUAUCAAAUAAGGGCCACUGGUGCUGCCUAUUGAUAUGAUACCACCCUCAAAUACAUACUAUACCUAU
RNAcentral lists this long non-coding RNA (237 nucleotides) under Gossypium barbadense (sea-island cotton). Its description in RNAcentral is "long non-coding RNA (GBAR_LNC011275)". Lineage: Eukaryota; Viridiplantae; Streptophyta; Magnoliopsida; Malvales; Malvaceae. The record is from RNAcentral.